RNAcentral lists this transfer RNA (78 nucleotides) under Dreissena polymorpha. RNAcentral describes it as "tRNA-Ser". It matches the Rfam family "tRNA". From Rfam's summary of the family: Transfer RNA (tRNA) molecules are approximately 80 nucleotides in length. Their secondary structure includes four short double-helical elements and three loops (D, anti-codon, and T loops). Lineage: Eukaryota; Metazoa; Mollusca; Bivalvia; Myida; Dreissenidae. The record is from RNAcentral.
GUUGUCGUGGGUGGUGAAGGUGAUAGACUUGAAAUCUUUUGGGAUCUACCCGCGCAGGUUCGAAUCCUGCCGACGUCG